CUCAUGAUGAACGCUAGCUACAGGCUUAACACAUGCAAGUCGAGGGGCAGCAUUUCGCUAGCAAUAGUGAAGAUGGCGACCGGCGCACGGGUGAGUAACACGUAUCCAACCUGCCGAUAACUCGGGGAUAGCCUUUCGAAAGAAAGAUUAAUAUCCGAUGGUAUAUUAAGAUCGCAUGGUUUUACUAUUAAAGAAUUUCGGUUAUCGAUGGGGAUGCGUUCCAUUAGUUUGUUGGCGGGGUAACGGCCCACCAAGACAACGAUGGAUAGGGGUUCUGAGAGGAAGGUCCCCCACAUUGGAACUGAGACACGGUCCAAACUCCUACGGGAGGCAGCAGUGAGGAAUAUUGGUCAAUGGGCGAGAGCCUGAACCAGCCAAGUAGCGUGAAGGAUGAAGGCUCUAUGGGUCGUAAACUUCUUUUAUAUGGGAAUAAAGUUUUCCACGUGUGGAAUUUUGUAUGUACCAUAUGAAUAAGGAUCGGCUAACUCCGUGCCAGCAGCCGCGGUAAUACGGAGGAUCCGAGCGUUAUCCGGAUUUAUUGGGUUUAAAGGGAGCGUAGGUGGAUUGUUAAGUCAGUUGUGAAAGUUUGCGGCUCAACCGUAAAAUUGCAGUUGAAACUGGCAGUCUUGAGUACAGUAGAGGUGGGCGGAAUUCGUGGUGUAGCGGUGAAAUGCUUAGAUAUCACGAAGAACUCCGAUUGCGAAGGCAGCUCACUAGACUGUCACUGACACUGAUGCUCGAAAGUGUGGGUAUCAAACAGGAUUAGAUACCCUGGUAGUUCCACACAGUAAACGAUGAAUACUCGCUGUGUGCGGUAUGCAGUAAGCGGCCAAGGGGAAGCAUUAAGUAUUCCCCCUGGGGGGUAGGCCGGCAACGGUGAAACUCAAAGACAUUGACGGGGGCCCGCACAACCGGAGGGACAUGUGGUUUAAUUCGCUGAUACGCGAGGAACCUUACCCGGGCUUAAAUUGCAACAGAAUAUAUUGGAAGACAGUAUAGCCGUAAGGCUGUUGUGAAGGUGCUGCAUGGUUGUCGUCAGCUCGUGCCGUGAGGUGUCGGCUUAAGUGCCAUAACGAGCGCAACCCUUAUCUUUAGUUACUAACAGGUGAUGCUGAGGACUCUAGAGAGACUGCCGUCGUAAGAUGUGAGGAAGGUGGGGAUGACGUCAAAUCAGCACGGCCCUUACGUCCGGGGCUACACACGUGUUACAAUGGGGGGUACAGAAGGCGGCUACCUGGUGACAGGAUGCUAAUCCCAAAAACCUCUCUCAGUUCGGAUUGAAGUCUGCAACCCGACUUCGUGAAGCUGGAUUCGCUAGUAAUCGCGCAUCAGCCAUGGCGCGGUGAAUACGUUCCCGGGCCUUGUACACACCGCCCGUCAAGCCAUGAAAGCCGGGGGUAAAGGAAGUACGUACCCGCAAGGAG
RNAcentral lists this ribosomal RNA (1424 nucleotides) under uncultured organism. Its description in RNAcentral is "16S ribosomal RNA". It matches the Rfam family "Bacterial small subunit ribosomal RNA". The record is from RNAcentral.